Molecule: ribosomal RNA, 433 nt
Filed under: uncultured bacterium
Lineage: Bacteria
Description: partial 16S ribosomal RNA
Rfam family: Bacterial small subunit ribosomal RNA
Source: RNAcentral
AACGAACGCUGGCGGCAUGCCUAACACAUGCAAGUCGAACGAAGCCUUCGGGCUUAGUGGCGCACGGGUGCGUAACGCGUGGGAAUCUGCCCCUUGCUUCGGAAUAACAGUUAGAAAUGACUGCUAAUACCGGAUGAAGUCUUCGGACCAAAGAUUUAUCGGCAAGGGAUGAGCCCGCGUAGGAUUAGGUAGUUGGUGGGGUAAAGGCCUACCAAGCCGACGAUCCUUAGCUGGUCUGAGAGGAUGAUCAGCCACACUGGGACUGAGACACGGCCCAGACUCCUACGGGAGGCAGCAGUGGGGAAUAUUGGACAAUGGACGCAAGUCUGAUCCAGCAAUGCCGCGUGAGUGAUGAAGGCCGUAGGGUUGUAAAGCUCUUUUACCAGGGAUGAUAAUGACAGUACCUGGAGAAUAAGCUCCGGCUAACUCCGUG